Molecule: non-coding RNA, 644 nt
Organism: Perca fluviatilis (European perch)
Lineage: Eukaryota; Metazoa; Chordata; Actinopteri; Perciformes; Percidae
Source: the annotation of a RefSeq genome assembly
CAUAAAGUCGGCCUCUCCUCCUCCUCCUCCUCCUUUACAUCCAGGCAGCUCUACUCAGUUUGCAGUCGUCAUUAUAGUUUUGUUUUUAUCUGCGUUAAGGAUCAUGAUUAGACUCCUCGUACAUUUAGCAGCUCUACCGUUCUGUUUAACAGAACUCCCACAGAACCGUGUUCAUCAGACUCCUACUGCCGUGAUCAAACAUGCUGGAGAAGUCGUCGUGAUGAACUGCAGCCAUUCAAACACUAAUUUUAAUAUGAUCCAGUGGUAUAAACAGUCUGCUGGGAAAAAUGACAUGGUCCUAGUUGGCUACGUACAAUUCACUUCUGCAGUUGUUGAAGCUCCAUUCAAAGACACGUAUGAAGUGAGUGGUAACGGAGGAAGCCUGGCAAGUCUUCAUAUCCCAAAGCUGAGUGGAUCCGAGGACAGCGCGGUGUAUUUCUGUGCUGCCAGUAAAGCACAGUGCUGCAUUAACCCCAACGUCUUUAACAAAAACCCUCUCUGGUGCAGCCGGUUACACAAGCACACAAUUUACCACAUGAACGACAAAUAAACCACAUUGUGAAUGACUGAUAUCAAGACAGCUGGCUCGCUUUGAGACAGCUAGAUUCUUCUUUCGUCGUUAGGGUGCAGUGUUUCUCCACACA